AAUUUAGCAUUGUAGGGAAAACAACCUCCCUGUAUGGGGGCUCGUCCGGGAUAUGAAAUAAGGCAGGCGUCGAACGAAUCAAAGUAAAGAUUGGAUAACGUUCUGCUAUCUUCCUGGUAUUCAAAAGGUGACCAUAAGUCAACAGGUAGCGGGAAGGCACACAUGCACACCUUCAAAAAUAUCUCUGCAAACUCUAGCAUUGUAGGGAAAACAACCUCCCUGUAUGGGGGCUCAUCUGGGAUAUGAAAUAAGGCAGGUGUUGAACGAAUCAAAGUAAAUAUUGGAUAACGUUCUGCUAUCUUCCUGGUAUUCAAAAGGUGGCCAUUAGGUAGCGGAAGGCACACAUGCCCACCUUCAAAAAUAUCUCUGCAAAAUUUAGCAUUGUAGGGAAAACAAGUUCCCUGUAUGGGGGCUCGUCCGGGAUAUGAAAUAAGGCAGGCGUCGAACGAAUCAAAGUAAAGAUUGGAUAACGUUCUGCUAUCUUCCUGGUAUUCAAACGGUGGCCAUUAGUUAGUGGGAAGGCACACAUGCACACCUUCAAAAAUAUCUCUGCAAAAUCUAGCAUUGUAGGGAAAACAAGUUCCCUGUAUGGGGGCUCGUCCGGGAUAUGAAAUAAGGCAGGCGUCGAACGAAUCAAAGUAAAGAUUGGAUAACGUUCUGCUAUCUUCCUGGUAUUCAAAAGGUGGCCAUUAGGUAGCGGGAAGGCACACAUGCACACC
Molecule: non-coding RNA, 719 nt
Organism: Anolis sagrei ordinatus
Lineage: Eukaryota; Metazoa; Chordata; Lepidosauria; Squamata; Anolidae
Source: RefSeq, a predicted model, not a curated record